RNAcentral lists this ribosomal RNA (277 nucleotides) under uncultured eukaryote. RNAcentral's name for it is "partial 18S ribosomal RNA". It matches the Rfam family "Eukaryotic small subunit ribosomal RNA", at positions 21 to 316 of the family's 1831-position model. The record is from RNAcentral.
UAGUCAUAUGCUUGUCCCAAAGAUUAAGCCAUGCAUGUGCAAGUAUAAGCUAAUAUACGGUGAAACUGCGAAAGGCUCAUUAAAUCAGCUAUAAUUUACUUGAUGAUUAAGCUACAUGGAUAACCGUGGUAAUUCUAGGGCUAAUACAUGCGGAUGGUCCGUAAAGGACGGCAUUUAUUGGAUUAAACCAACCCCCAUGCGGGAGCGGCGAGUCAAGAUAACUGGGCGGAUCGCAGGGCAUUGGCCGGCGACGCAUCAAACAAAUAACUGCCCUAUC